Molecule: non-coding RNA, 134 nt
Organism: Triticum aestivum (bread wheat)
Lineage: Eukaryota; Viridiplantae; Streptophyta; Magnoliopsida; Poales; Poaceae
Source: Rfam
AUUAUACUCCCUCCGUCUGAAAAUACUUGUCAUCAAAAUGGACAAAAAGGGAUGUAUCUAAAACUAAAAUACAUCUAGAUACAUCCCUUUUAUCCAUUCUGAUGAAAAGUAUUUCCGGACGGAGGGAGUAUAUA